UGGCCCUGGGUAAUUACCGAAGGCUCUAGGCCCUCGGUAAAGCCUUCGGUAUCAUGCACGGAUAAAUGUGUUGUAUUUGUUUUUCUUAUCCAACCACACAUACCUAUAGUGUACACAACAUAAGCAGACCUUCGAGUUUGACCUUAUUCUUUAUUUUUGACCACUUUCCUACCUUUAUUAGACUAAUAUAGACUUGUUAGGAUGUUUACAUACAUUACAAUAAGUCUACAUUAGUUGAAUUGACCAUUUUUGACCUUAAAAGUUCACUUUUUAGGUACUUAAGAGUCAAAUUUUGAGUUUGACCUUAUUCUUUGCUUUUGAGUACUUUCCUACCUUUAUUAGACUAAUUGUAUGCUUUUGAAUAUUUUCCUAGGUUCAUUUCAAUACUUUAGACAUGUUAGGAUCUUCACAUUAGUUAAAACUCGUCUAAAUUGGGUCUAGUUGCAAUUCUUCACCUUUUAAGCACANUUUUUGGCUUCAAAAGACUAAAACUAUGAGUUUGAGGUGAUUCUUUGCUUUUGUCAACUUUCCUAGCUUCAUUCCACUUGUUUAGACAUGUUAAGAUGUUCACAUUACUUAAACUAAGUGUACCUUAGGUGAAUUGCCAAUUUGUCACCCUUUAAGUGAACUUUUUAGUUUGAAACUACUCAAACUUUGACUUUUAGGUAUUUNUUUGCUUUUGAGUAGUUUCCUACCUUCACUUGAAUACUUUAGACUUAUUAGGAUAUUAACAUGAGUUAAAAUUAGUCUACUUUAGGUGAAUUACAAAUUUCUCACCUUUUUAGUACACUUUUUUAGGUUCUAACUACUCAAAAGUUGAGUUUUAGCUACUUGUUUGCUUUUGAGUACUUGUUAGCAAUAACAAGGUGUUGAUUUUGAUUUUUGCAGUUUCUUUGCUAUUUGGUAGUUUAAACAAGUCCUAAAUGUUGAUUUAAACUUGUUACAACAUUCAAAUUUUAGAUANAUUCAUCUGUGUGCAAAAUAGCAUGUUCACACCUUAUUUUUCAAUGAAAUGGGGAAGUAGAAGGGUGAAUCUGUUGUACAGUUUGAUUUUGAACUUUUUAAGUGUUCAAACAAGUUUAAUUUAGUGAAUUAAAGAUGUUGAAAGUAUUAUCAAAGAGUCAGAAUCACUUGUGCAUGAAUUCACUUUUAAAACCACCAUACUUGGGUCAAUUUUUUGGUGCAGAGUUGAAGAAUUUAAGUGUUGUCCAGUGACCAUUUCUGGUGCAGUUUUUCAGCUAAUUUGGUGCUAAUUUUUAUGUCAAAUUGUGGUGUUCUUCAGACUUUUUGGUGCAGUCCAGUUUCANAAUGUAGGGUAGACAUAUUUCUAUUGAUUUCAAGUUAAUAUGAUUUCCUUCCUGGCAUGCUUCCACAUGCAGUUGUUUUACUACAAAAAAGAAGGGAUGUCUAAUCUGAAUUUAAUUCAUUCUAGUUGAUAAUUUCCAGCUUCAUCUAGUGUAUUAAGAUUUCCUUGAGCCAUUUUCAUUGUUGCUAUAACUUUUGAAUCAAUCUANCUUGAUUUUGGUGGAUUGAUGGGGUAUUUUUCUGCAUAAAUUGGCCAUAACAAGAUCUGAUUUUGAUUUCUGUUGUUUCUGAGUUAUUUCAUAGCUUGAACAAGUUUUAAAUUGUGUUUAAAAGCUGCUAGCAGAUUUCAAUUAGUAUUAUCUUGGCCUAAGUGCAGAGUUGUGUCUUAAACCAUCACAUUUUGAGUUAACUUAGGAAGUGACAAGGUGAAUUUGAGUAUCAAUCUGUCUUUCCUCUAAUAUUUUGUCCAUGAAUCAUUUACUUAAUCAUUUAACUUCCAAUUUAGCGAUACUAAGUCAUUUGCUCUUUUGCUCUUUAACCUAUAAUGCAUUUCAUCAUUAUUUACUCUAACCACACCUCAUCAUUGUCUUUUACAGUUUACUCUCGUGCUUAUGCACUUCUACAUAUACCGUGUAUUCAUUCUUUUCACAAUUAAUGAGAAUUACACUCUUUCUUACUAUUUCUUCUCUCACGAUCUACACUACCUUUGUUCUUUUCUCUACAUAAUCAUUGCCUAACUCACUACAUAUAUCACAUUAUUAAAAACCAAAACCAGAUUGAAGUGUUGCAAAACUAAAACGUUCAGCAUGUCCUUUUUCUAGUUUCCAUUGGAUUAAGCUAUUGAUUUCAUGAGCUAUUAUGUUCUCCAUGGGUAUCAUGAGUUAUUGAAGAUAAAGACAUGAGUGAUGAAGUUAAGUAUUUUACAUGGGUUUCUUGAACCUUGUACAUGUUACAUUGUGGGUGUUAUCAAAGUAAGAAAUAGAAAGGAAUNAGAUGAAGAUGAUGAAAGUUGAAUUGCUGAAGAAUGGGGAGAAUGGGGCUAUAUUCGAGAUGUUGAUGUAGAGGGUUGGGUUUAACUAAAGUUAAGUGGAGGGAGAGAAUGCUCUUGGCCUAGCUUCAGCCCUAGACACAAUGAAACUAGAAUUUGAUAUUUUUAAGGGUGUUGUGAUGGUCUUCUUCCAAGAGGCCAUUUCGGUGGAAGGGUGAAGAACAAGGUGUGGAAGGGUAAGAAGAAUAUGCAGUNAAGAGAACACAANAGAGGAGAAAGAGAAAGAGAGAUAGAAGGUUUUGAUGACAAUAAGCUCCCAUAAACCUUGAGUGGAAUAAGCAUACAUAACUUAAUUUUAUAACCAUUCCAAAACCAACUUAAAUGAAAUAAGACAAAAAAAUAAAUAAUUGAUGACCAUAAUACUACUAUAAUUCCAAUUAAGGUUUAUACGUAUUUAAGUGGACGUUUCAUAAUCAUUAAUCAANGGUGCAUGGUNNNNACUAUUCAAUACUUCCACCAACAACACACAAGCAAAGCCAAAGUAUAAGGUCACCAAAUCAAAUGUUAUGAAUCAUAAACAUAUUAGACAAUGACAAAGCACUAAAGGUUAUCAUAUCAUUCAUACCAUCACUGACCAAUUGUGUAAACAAAGAAAUUACCUAAUACAGCAAAGGGAAAUAUGNACACACCAACUAAUCAAGUUGCAGUAAAGAAUCACGUCUCUGUUCACCUUCAACGUGCCUCACCAAUGGCCUGGAAAAUGCUGGACAGUCAGUGCCAACAAUGAAUUUGACAAAUGAAAGACACAUGACACAAACUUAGACUUUGGUAUGGAACCAAGGGAACCAGACUCAAAUGAACUCAUUCACUUCUUCUUAUCGUUAGAAAAUGGAAACAGAUUGAGUAGAAAACAGGGGCAUCAAUUUUCAAUGUUACAACUUACCUCCACAGUAGGAACUCUCCACAGCAGGAACUCUCCACAGCCUCCCUCGAAGAAUGCAAGGUGGACUUCGGCAACCUUCGUUCACCACGAUAGCAAAGGAAAAGUGAGCUCCAAAACCUCGUAGCAAAGUCCCUCAACCAAUAUUUACUAAGCAUAGUGUCAAUCAUUGANGACCAACCCUUGACCACAAGAAAUCAAGAAAAUCGUUGACACACUUACCGAUUAUGCGAAUGAUCCUCUACNAAUGGCUCUACCUCUGCACGUGAGGGAAAGAGAUGNACACUCUGCGAAACCCUCCAACGAAGUGCCUCUGUGCAAAUGAACCCUCCAACGACAGAACCAAGUGCCACCAAAGAUGGGGGUCUGCGACUGCUUGCACGAACGAGGGAGAAUGCUUGGCCGAGGGUUGUCUUGNUGNGGGCGAGGGUUCUCUGGCUAAACGGAAGGUGUAUUUGGCUCGAAGGAAGGGGAAUGGUUGCGAGGGUCCGAACUCUCAAAGAAAGCAAGAGAAAUUUUGGCUCGAAAUGAAAUUUGGGCGAGCAGAAACCCAGGUUUGGAGUCUGAUUACUCGAGCACCUUACCGAGGGUCAUAUAUCCUUCGGUAAAUUAAUUCACCAAUCCUUUACCGACGGCAUAGAGACCUUCGGUAGUUUUCCUUCGGUAAUUUGCAUAUUUCUUGUAGUGUCAUCUCUUAGUCCUCUAAUGAUGUUCUUUAAAAUAUAAAGGAAGUAUGUGAGAAGACUCUCUAAAGUCUCUCUCUAAAUCUCUUUAGACAGUCUGGCAAAAAGUCUCCAGAAGGCUCUCUCAAAACAGAGAGGAAAUUAUGUUUUUAUAGACAUUCCAAAGUGUGGCUUCAGCAGUGGCGUCAUGACUCUAGUUGUGAGGUUUCCUCCCAAGGUGGACUUUUUAUAUGGCUUAGGCCUUGUGCUUCUAUGCUGGAGCCCUUUGAGAUAACUUCUAGGAGAAAUAUUUUUCAUGGUUUUAACCUCAGGUCAGAGCUUGAGGUUUCCUUCCAAGAUGAGUUUCUUCGUGUGGUUCAAGCCUCAAAUUCCACGCUACAGUCGCGCUCAAGUCAGUUUGUUAUAUUUUGCUUAUAAUUCCUUUGUUUUCUUCAUAUUUCACCUUUGACUCUCUAUUCAUCAAAACCUGCAAAACAAGUAAAAUUGGGAUGAUUACUAUAAAUAUUUAACAUAAUCCAAACAAGAUAAAUACCAAAUUAACACCAAAACUAACUCAUAUUGAAUACUUAUCACCUUCUUCGUGUCUUCUGAUUUGUUCCACGAAUUUUCAGCCUCUAGCAAUGAAUCCCAUGAUACCAAUACUUUCGAGAUAUCCCUUCCACUUUUGUGAAUAAUAGGUGUGCCAAGAUUUUAUAAGGGCUCAAUAUAGGACCAAAUUCAUUAGAUGUUAAGAGUGAAGGUAGGUAUUGAUGAUUUGACUCCCCU
This 4681-nucleotide long non-coding RNA is filed under the name Vigna radiata. RNAcentral describes it as "long non-coding RNA (VRAD_LNC002563)". The record is from RNAcentral. Lineage: Eukaryota; Viridiplantae; Streptophyta; Magnoliopsida; Fabales; Fabaceae.